GACGAACGCUGGCGGCGUGCUUAACACAUGCAAGUUGAACGGAAAGGCCCUGCUUUUGUGGGGUGCUCGAGUGGUGAACGGGUGAGUAACACGUGAGUAACCUGCCCUUGACUUUGGGAUAACUUCAGGAAACUGGGGCUAAUACCGGAUAGGAGCUCCUGCUGCAUGGUGGGGGUUGGAAAGUUUCGGCGGUUGGGGAUGGACUCGCGGCUUAUCAGCUUGUUGGUGGGGUAGUGGCUUACCAAGGCUUUGACGGGUAGCCGGCCUGAGAGGGUGACCGGCCACAUUGGGACUGAGAUACGGCCCAGACUCCUACGGGAGGCAGCAGUGGGGAAUAUUGCACAAUGGGCGGAAGCCUGAUGCAGCAACGCCGCGUGCGGGAUGACGGCCUUCGGGUUGUAAACCGCUUUCGCCUGUGACGAAGCGUGAGUGACGGUAAUGGGUAAAGAAGCACCGGCUAACUACGUG
RNAcentral lists this ribosomal RNA (468 nucleotides) under uncultured bacterium. RNAcentral's name for it is "partial 16S ribosomal RNA". It matches the Rfam family "Bacterial small subunit ribosomal RNA", at positions 28 to 507 of the family's 1533-position model. The record is from RNAcentral.